RNAcentral lists this ribosomal RNA (450 nucleotides) under uncultured bacterium. RNAcentral's name for it is "bacterial SSU rRNA". It matches the Rfam family "Bacterial small subunit ribosomal RNA", at positions 246 to 706 of the family's 1533-position model. The record is from RNAcentral.
UAGUUGGUGGGGUAAUGGCCUACCAAGGCGACGAUCAGUAGCUGGUCUGAGAGGAUGAUCAGCCACACUGGGACUGAGACACGGCCCAGACUCCUACGGGAGGCAGCAGUGGGGAAUAUUGGACAAUGGGCGCAAGCCUGAUCCAGCCAUGCCGCGUGAGUGAUGAAGGCCUUAGGGUUGUAAAGCUCUUUUGUCCGGGACGAUAAUGACGGUACCGGAAGAAUAAGCCCCGGCUAACUUCGUGCCAGCAGCCGCGGUAAUACGAAGGGGGCUAGCGUUGCUCGGAAUCACUGGGCGUAAAGGGCGCGUAGGCGGCCAUUCAAGUCGGGGGGUGAAAGCCUGUGGCUCAACCACAGAAUUGCCUUCGAUACUGGUUUGGCUUGAGUUUGGGUAAAAGGUUGGUGGAACUGCCAGUGGUAAAAGGUGAAAUUCCGUAAAAAUUCCCAAGAA